This 253-nucleotide ribosomal RNA is filed under the name uncultured bacterium. RNAcentral's name for it is "partial 16S ribosomal RNA". It matches the Rfam family "Bacterial small subunit ribosomal RNA", at positions 524 to 776 of the family's 1533-position model. The record is from RNAcentral.
UACAGAGGGUGCAAGCGUUAAUCGGAUUUACUGGGCGUAAAGCGUGCGUAGGCGGUUCGCUAAGUCGGUUGUGAAAUCCCUGGGCUUAACCUGGGAACUGCAGUCGAUACUGGCGGACUAGAGUACGGUAGAGGGUGGCGGAACUCCGGGUGUAGCGGUGAAAUGCGAAGAUAUCCGGAAGAACACCGAUGGCGAAGGCAACCACCUGGGCCUGUACUGACGCUGAGGUACGAAAGCGUGGGGAGCAAACAGG